GAUGAACGCUGGCGGCGUGCUUAACACAUGCAAGUCGAACGAUGAAGCCCAGCUUGCUGGGUGGAUUAGUGGCGAACGGGUGAGUAACACGUGAGUAACCUGCCCUUAACUCUGGGAUAAGCCUGGGAAACUGGGUCUAAUACCGGAUAGGAGCGUCCACCGCAUGGUGGGUGUUGGAAAGAUUUAUCGGUUUUAGAUGGACUCGCGGCCUAUCAGCUUGUUGGUGAGGUAAUGGCUCACCAAGGCGACGACGGGUAGCCGGCCUGAGAGGGUGACCGGCCACACUGGGACUGAGACACGGCCCAGACUCCUACGGGAGGCAGCAGUGGGGAAUAUUGCACAAUGGGCGCAAGCCUGAUGCAGCGACGCCGCGUGAGGGAUGACGGCCUUCGGGUUGUAAACCUCUUUCAGUAGGGAAGAAGCGAAAGUGACGGUACCUGCAGAAGAAGCACCGGCUAACUACGUG
This 466-nucleotide ribosomal RNA is filed under the name uncultured bacterium. RNAcentral describes it as "partial 16S ribosomal RNA". It matches the Rfam family "Bacterial small subunit ribosomal RNA", at positions 28 to 507 of the family's 1533-position model. The record is from RNAcentral.